Molecule: long non-coding RNA, 755 nt
Filed under: Bemisia tabaci
Lineage: Eukaryota; Metazoa; Arthropoda; Insecta; Hemiptera; Aleyrodidae
Description: lncRNA ENSSSA1NGG012989
Source: RNAcentral
CCUAUGAUGACGUCGCCACUAAUAGCGUCUAGUGAUACGUCAUCAGCGCACCGUUGUCAGACCGCACGAAUUGCUUGCAAAUACGGUGCUCAGCAAGUAGACUUUGAUAUGUUUUUUUCGCACUAUGUGGCAGCUAACAGUUCUAACCUUAAAUUCAUCUCAUCGUCGCAUCGCAUCGCAAUAAUGCAUGUCUCGUCUUGUUUACAGUUGUAUUUAUGAUAUGAAUAGGUAAUCUCUCGAAAAACUGAAAGGAUUUCUUGGUGAAUUGGUGGGAAAGUGUGGUAACUAUGUGAUUUUUGAAUCGAGAUUCAAUUCGUUUUUAUUUUUCGACGCCGAUCAAUCUUGUGAUUGGUAUCAUGAAAUUGAGCCCUAUCAGACCUGUUGGCACAGAGCUGCAGAAAGGUCAGAGAGUUUUGUCAAGGCGAUCGAAAAUCUUUCGAGAGACCAAGUCAAAUCAUGCCAACCUGGAGCCUUCUCCGUCUGCAGUCACAUGAAUGAAUGUGGAGUCCAUGAGGACCCAAAGGAAGAAAUUCAAGUAAGCCCUGAUAUACUUGAUUUUAAUGGAGAGCCUUUUUUCUUGAAUUCUUGGAAUUUGUCUAUUCUUGCACAGAGUGAAGAAUGCCUCAUAGUGUGGAAUAUUUUGGAAGACCAUGUGCAAAGAAGGUACAGAUUAUUCUUAUUUUUUGGCAUGCUGAAAUAGAUAAGAACAUUUGUGAGAGGCUUUACGGGGAAAAAAAGGUUAAAAAAGUUUUGAU